CAACAUUCAACACCUUCGCACUCGACUCAUCAUAAUAAAACCUCUAUGCUACUACUCUAAACUUGUAUAAAGAAUCUCAGGCAGCCGUACUUUAUCUUCCUGCAAAAGAUCAGUUUGAGUCGUCGAAUAAUUUAACUGAGCCCCUCUUAGAGAUUUACUAUGAAACCCGAGAACUCUCAUUUGCCCAUUAUCAUCAAGUUGAUAAAGUACGCCUGAUAAGCCGAUACCUGAGGAAUCUGUUUGCAAAUAAUAAGGUGAUGUAAGUCCCUAACACGCAAGCUACGUCAGUACAAUGAAGCAGAGGAAGAGAAUUUGAUUUAUUUAGAUACUAGUAUAUAGAAAUAUUUUAUUUUAUAUUUAAUUAACUCCAAAUCAAAUCAGUUCACAUUCCAGUUUUCUUACGGCAGCAAAAAUGUAGCCAAAGAGGCUACUUUAUGUAACAAACUAUUCAUAUAUUUAAUCCUGGUCAUUCCGGUACCAAAAAUGUACCUUAACCCAAUAUUAGCUAAUCUACUUUAAUAAAACUCAUCCAGAAUUAAUUAUAAAUAAAUAAAAAUAAAUAAAUUUGGCCAUGUGAUCGUCUAGUGAAAUUAAUAUGUUGUGAACCUUAGUACCCUUCGUCUUUUAUGUGCAGACUGAUUAGAUUUGGAUUUAAAAUACUACCCCUAAAAUACCCUAUGUAAUUGUAAAUAUUUCUACUGUAUUUCUAUAUUAUAACACUAUCAUAUGAAAAAAAAAAUUAAAUAAUAAAUUAUAUUUUUUAGAAUUUAUCUUCUACCGAGCCCUACCGUGACCAGUUACCAUGAACAGUAGUGUAAGCCCUUGUUGUUUGUAAUUAUAUUUUCCUUUUAUAUCCAUUCGCUAAUCUAGCUAGCUAAAGGAAAAUAUGUAUAUGUAAAUGUUGCAAAAAUUAAUACGUACAAACAUACUUUAUCUACUGUCACGCCUCGGAUGAAGUCGGGUCUCUAAACUAAAUAAUACCUAUUUUAUUUUGUUUUGUUUUUAAUAGGUAUUCCUAAACACUAUGUAAUAUUUACUUUUAUCUGCGUUUCGGAACCUAUUUUCAGACAAGAAGAAACGCCAAGAAACUUAUCUGAAUAUACUAUAAAUGUAUGGAAUACUGAAGCGAUCGUCUAAUAAACAUGACUUUUUAACCCUUAGAUACCCAAUAUAGAAAAGCUCAAAUUGUCACUAGUGAACUGCUUCGCCUGUCACUAGCUCCCUAUAACAAAAUUAUUUAGUAUGUCCUCAAAUAACUUUGUUCCCCUAUCUCACCAAAUAUAAAAAUGUAUUACCUUUAAAUCAUAUUUAAUAUACGAGCCUCAGUAACCCAUCCAUAUGCUACUAAAACUAGACUUUAAUUUAUUCUGUAUUUUAAAACAAUUAACACUCUAAUGAUUUUAACACUGUAUGUAACCAAAAUACAUGUGAAAGAA
This is a long non-coding RNA of Cydia fagiglandana, 1436 nucleotides long. RefSeq lists it as uncharacterized. The transcript has 4 exons. NCBI's taxonomy places the organism in Eukaryota, Metazoa, Arthropoda, Insecta, Lepidoptera, Tortricidae. The record is from RefSeq and is a predicted model, not a curated record.